UACGAGUUGAAAAAUACUGACAGAGAGCAGUGGACCAUAAUGGACUGUCUGCCUGUUUUGUUUGUUUGCUGCUUGCACAUUGGGUUAAAGGUAAAGGGGCACUGGAGUCACGGUGAUUUCCUGAAGGAGGAGGAAGAUGGAUCCUUCCUGUGGAAACAUCUGGGCACAGCUGGAGAGCAACAGUUCCAGCAACUGGAGCACGGGGGAGAGGAGCAGGGAAUCUCAGGCAGAGACGGUCAAGAGGGGCAGGGAACAUCCACGGUGCCCAGGAGGGCUCAGCACAGUGGGAGUCCUAUUUAACUGCAAAGAGAAAUUCAGAGACAACAGCAGUUCCAGAGCACCUGUUUGGAAAGCGAUUAUGUUUGAAAGAAGAGCAGGGCAGCUUCCAACAUGGGAGGCUGAGCAUGCUUAAAUAUAGC
RNAcentral lists this long non-coding RNA (419 nucleotides) under Gallus gallus (chicken). RNAcentral describes it as "lncRNA (ENSGALG00010004664.1)". Lineage: Eukaryota; Metazoa; Chordata; Aves; Galliformes; Phasianidae. The record is from RNAcentral.